RNAcentral lists this microRNA precursor (143 nucleotides) under Linum usitatissimum (flax). Its description in RNAcentral is "miR160g stem-loop (lus-MIR160g)". Its record names the gene lus-MIR160g. Lineage: Eukaryota; Viridiplantae; Streptophyta; Magnoliopsida; Malpighiales; Linaceae. The record is from miRBase by way of RNAcentral.
UUUGGUGUUUGAACGGAAAGCGUGGUCCUGCCUGGCUCCCUGGAUGCCAUCUGAGCAGCUUUCCAAAAGAGUGUUUGGAAACCUUCCUAGUUGGCAUGAGGGACGCCAUGCAGGCCGUCCAUUCAUUUUCCUCAUCUAUUGAG